RNAcentral lists this long non-coding RNA (416 nucleotides) under Ananas comosus (pineapple). Its description in RNAcentral is "long non-coding RNA (ACOM_LNC024421)". Lineage: Eukaryota; Viridiplantae; Streptophyta; Magnoliopsida; Poales; Bromeliaceae. The record is from RNAcentral.
CAGAGUUGCGAAAAAUGUGUCAUUUUUUUAUUCAAUCUGGCCUACGUGACGUACAGACCCGCCACAAAUACAAAGUCUCUCUGGCUACAUAGAUAGAGUCUCCUUUGUAUUUGCACGGCGUACAACCAAUAACAUCAUGAUCACAAUAACAACCUACAUUUACCAAUCCACAAGCAAUUUAUGCGAUGCAUUUCCAUACAGCUAGCGAUCCUUAGAGAUGAUGCAUGUCUCUAAACACUCCUUAGGCGCUGGAUGAUGCGAUGUAUAGUAUAACAACCAUCCUAUUUAAAAGUGCUCCCUACCCGGAAGCUUUGUUUUUAAACUUUAUUUAAUCAUCUAUAAAACCAUUCAAAAACCUUUUAAAAACUAUUUUCCACUUUGAAACUUCACUUUUGAAAACCAACUUUCUCGAGGGG